CUCCACAUCCACAUGUCUUUACCUUUAGGAGUGGUGAUUCAACCACUUUCCUGAGCAGUCUGCUCCACUGCUGGACAACCCUUCUGGCAAAGAAGUUUUUCCCAAUAUCACAUCUAAACCUUGCCCGGUGCAAUUAGAGGCCAUUUCCUUUCAUUCUGUCACUUGUUACCUCAGGGAUGAGGCCAAUUCCUGCCCAGCAUUUCAGGUGGUUGUAGAGAGUGAGAAGGCCCAUCCUGAGCCUCCAUUUCUCGCGGAUAAACAACGCCAGCUCCCUCAACUGCUCCUUGUAAAAGUUGUGCUUCAGACCCUUCCCCAGCUCUGUUACCCUUCUCUGGACACGCUGCAGCACCUUGAUGUCCUUCUUGUAGUGAGGGGCCCAAAAGUGGAUACGAGACUCAAGCACAUAGAGAAGACCCUUGGUCAAGUGAGCUCACCAACAGGAUGCUGUCAGCUUGAGAAGAGUUCAGUUUACUGAUGGGGGAGAAGUCAGUAUUUACUAGCAGAAUGAACAGUACUUAGAGGAUCAGAUUUCCAGUUCAACUUUUCACUUUUAUCUCUUCCCAAGCAGGUAUGUAGCAGUGAACCUACAAACUCAUGAGAACAACUGCAUGACCCAUAUAGCCUACCCCUAAAAUCUUUUAAUGACAGUGUCUAAGUGACUCAUUUACUGUCCUCAGUAUCACACAGGCAUUCUGAACUGCAUUCAAAUCUCAGAUGUCACAAUAUUUCAAAAUAUCACGGUUACUUGAUUAGAAGAGGGAUCUAUACUAGUGCAACACUUUCAAAUAGGAAAAGAUGCAUCAAACUGUCUUCUAAUUAUAUUCUCUAUGUUGGCCUUGCUACUGGUGUGAUUUCUUUCUAAUUUCUGCUCCAGUGAUCACUGGUGACUCUCAUGGUCAUGGUAAAUGGUCUCCUGGUACAUUUGCAGUAUGUUCAUUGAUGUAUUUUUCAACUAAAAGUGUUAUGAAUACACAGUGACCUGUGAAUGAUUUUGAGGGCUGACACUCAACUGUUGACCCUUAAAACUUUGAAAUAACUACAUAAAAUAUUUAAAGACAGAAAUGAAAGAUAGCCCUCUCUAAAAUAGAAUUUAAUGACUAUAGGGAAUUUAAAAAUAACAUGUGUGACCACCCUAAAACACAGUGUCAUCACUCCAAUUCCAGACUGAAUAUAGCAAAACCCUACUGCUCGUACUGGAGUGAAUACAAUACAAGAUUUAGAUAAUGAUUCCCCAUUAUACGGCAAAAUCCUGACAGUAGUAGUUGAAAUUCAUGAUCAGUUUUGUGGCAUGCCUUUAAGACCACAGGUCAAGGUCACUGUGUUGGAUAGAACCCUUGAAUUACUGCUUUGUUUAGAUCUGGAGGUUGGUGAAGAGCAAUGGAAAUGGAGGAGUAAUGAGUUUCACUGCCUGAAAACUACAAUUCUUCUCUCUAAGAAUAAAAACCUGGACUUGCUUUCUGCAGGUUAUUGGCAGGAACAUUAUGCUUGGACCAUCUUGCACAAGGGCUUAUGGCUAUUCAUGCUGUUUCUGCAUGAAAAUUCAGCAAUUUAUCUGUGAAGUCCUAGGAGGCCUGGAUCACAUUCUGAAGACAAGACAUUCAAAAUUUUAGUGUAGAAAUAUUUUACUGAACUUCAAAUUUCAAUGCUGGCCUUCACAGAACUGUCUGUGGACUUAUUAAAUUGUUUAGGGUAAAAAGAAAAUCAGGUAUACAUUUACAUUGGCAGCAAUCAGUUUACCAUUAGCCCUGCUUUCAGAGCACAGUAUGGAUGAGAACCAGCAAAUAUACUCAGCAACUUGAUUGAUUGCAAGCAGGGAUUUGAGCCUGGGUCAUCACACUUUCUCUCUCUGGUUCACUGCAUGUUUAAGUAGGGUGCAAAAAUGGAAUAUCUCCCACAGAAGUGACUGAGUGAGCCUGGCCCUGCUGUGCAUGUCGCGUGCUCACUAGAUGCUCCUUGGGAAGACCAGAGUGCUACAUUUAGAUCCACCCUGGUCCCAGUAACAGCACAGCUGAACUCCCACUCAGCAAUGUGAAGAUGGGACACAUGCAAUUUCUUCCUGCUAAAGCUGUUCCACUAUUUUUAGACUGAAUAAGAAAGGGAGGUAGUAAAUAACUCCCUUGCUUUAUGAGGAAUUAAUUCAGGACACAGAAUUCCUGGGCUGAAUUCUCCAUGCCAGGCACCAGUUUGCAAGGAGAAAGUAGAACAGUGUCAAAGCAAAGGCUGGAAAAUCCUUCUCACUCCUCUCUGAAGUAUCCUGCAGGCUUGCAGUCAUACUGUCCUUCAAAUGCUUUUAGGUAGAAGUACCUGUGCCAUCUCUUCUUCAUCCCAUUUUAUCAAUCUAGUUUGACAGUGGCUUUGCUUUCAGCACAGGUGUGUUCUAUAGCAGCAUUUUACCUUUGGGUUUGAAUAGGAUGCUUUGCUCCAUUAGAAACAAUUCCUCUAGUUUUUGAUUUUAAUGAAAA
Molecule: long non-coding RNA, 2462 nt
Organism: Passer domesticus (house sparrow)
Lineage: Eukaryota; Metazoa; Chordata; Aves; Passeriformes; Passeridae
Exons: 3
Source: RefSeq, a predicted model, not a curated record